This 571-nucleotide long non-coding RNA is filed under the name Brassica napus (rape). RNAcentral's name for it is "long non-coding RNA (BNAP_LNC015410)". Lineage: Eukaryota; Viridiplantae; Streptophyta; Magnoliopsida; Brassicales; Brassicaceae. The record is from RNAcentral.
ACGGUGGCUCUCCUAGACGGGGAAAACGACAAAUCACUCCGAGUCUCUCUCUCUCUCCGGCUCUGAUGUUUGAAGAAUCGUAUCUCUCUCUUGGCGGAUCUUAUCAAAGUCGUCUCUCUCACGGCGGCUCUGAUCGAAAUCGUGUCUCUCUCACGGCGGCUCUGAUCAAAAUCGUCCCUCUUUCACAGCGGCUCUGAUCGAAAUCUUCUCUCUCACGGCGGCUCGAAUCACUCCGCCUCUAAAGCUAAGUUAUUGUGUUCAUAUGUCUGGUUAUCAAUGUAUGAUUAUCAAUGGUGAUAUGUUUUAUUGUAUCGUUUAUGUCUGGUUAUCAAUGUUGAUAUGUUUGAUUGGAUCGUUUAUGUCUGUUGAUUCUGUCUGGUUAUUAAUCCACCUUGUUCGGGUCACAAGUUUAUCAAGUUCAUAAGUUUGUUGUCUUGAUUUGUUUGUUGUGUUGCUAUGUUAUGCUCUGUUGGUUUCUGUCUGGAAGGAAUGUUAAAUCCUUCAUGUUCAAUGUCGAUAUGUUUGUUGUGUUCCGGUGAUUAAUCGUUUGAUUCUUUUUGAUAGUUUCAGU